Molecule: transfer RNA, 72 nt
Organism: Camelus ferus (Wild Bactrian camel)
Lineage: Eukaryota; Metazoa; Chordata; Mammalia; Artiodactyla; Camelidae
Rfam family: tRNA
About the family: Transfer RNA (tRNA) molecules are approximately 80 nucleotides in length. Their secondary structure includes four short double-helical elements and three loops (D, anti-codon, and T loops).
Source: Rfam
GAGGGUAUAGCUCAAUAGCACAGCGCAUGCUUAGCGUGCAAGAGGUCCUGGGUUCAAUCCCCAGUACCUCCA